This 447-nucleotide ribosomal RNA is filed under the name Triticum aestivum (bread wheat). RNAcentral's name for it is "partial small subunit ribosomal RNA". Lineage: Eukaryota; Viridiplantae; Streptophyta; Magnoliopsida; Poales; Poaceae. The record is from RNAcentral.
AUGGGAUCGAUUGGCAACAGGAUACCUGAAGUUGGUAUGCGGUUCAGAAAUUCGGAUGAGGCUUGGGAGUUCUGGGUGCAAUAUGGAGGUCACAUAGGCUUUGAUGUGAGGAAAAGAAAUACCAUCAGAAGCAGAAUUGAUGGAACAAUCACUUCAUGUAGAUUUGUUUGUUCCAAUGAAGACAUUCGAAGGAAAAGUCAAAUAGAUCACGAGCCGAAGCGCAUUAGAGCUGAAACAAGAACCAAUUGUAAAGUUCGGAUGAUUGUUUCAUUUGAUCGAGUGGCCAAAUUUUUUGAAGUCACCGAAGUUGAUUUGGAACACAAUCACCUCCUUCAAUUGCCACAAACCUGUCACUUGUUGGCAUCACAAAGGAAGAUUUCAGAUGUGCAAGCUUUAGAGAUAGAAAUAGCCGAUGAUUCUGGAAUUAUGCCAAAAGCUUCACAUGAG